AGAGCUGGCUGCAGUGGAAAAUUUGGGUGGGAGGGAAGGGCGCAGAGAAAGAAAACAAAGGAGCUAUCUAUACAGGGGAGGUCUCAGUUCCUCAGGCAAGGCACACUCCCCACAACCUCCUGGGGCUGCUUCAGGGGUUACAGGACAGCUUGCGCUACAGAACUCUGCCGAUCUCCUGCCUAAGAGGCAGGUGGGGUUUCGGCACCUCUGUGGGUUCUCACUGGCUUCAUUCUGCCGCCUGUUUUGCUGGUGACCAUCUGUCUUGCUGCUGGGUUCCGUGCAAUGGCAUAGUAGUAUGGAAAGCUAAAAACCUCAGCUGAAAUCUUUCCUUUUGUUUUCUCUUUUCCCUGAGCUAUACUAGGUCUGAAGCAAUCUACUUGCAAAUACAAGAGAAAAAUAAUCCAUCCUAUUUGAUGCCCCUCUUCCCUGUUGGGUGGAAAAUGAUUUUUCAGAAAAUUUCCUAUUGGAUAUAUAUUCAGUUUAUGUAUUGUAGUUACAGGCUAUAUUGACAACAUUUUAGGUUUUAUUUUUGGUUCAUUUUUUUUUUUAACAGUACGCAGAGAUCACACAUGCUGCGUGUCCCACGAACUUCAUCCAAGUGUCCAUCUUUCUUUCUCUUUAACUGUAGUGUUUCCCAUCAGAGUAGUAUGAACCCUUCCAUGAACCUCUUGCUAAUUGCUAUGCUGGCACUUCAAGGUAGGAGAGCAGCAAGCUUUUGUCCUUCAGAGGACACUGUGCUCCAUGUGAGUAAGUGGACCAAUGAUGUGUUGGCUCUGGUGUGCUGAGUUCUUUUAAAUGUCAUAGAUCUCAGAAGGUUUCAGUAAUGUUUAAAUUGCAUAUAAAUUCACACCCCCACUGCUCCCUGGAUUGAUCUGCCUGUGAGGCUGGAGGUACUGAAGGUUGGAGGAGGAAGAGGAAUCAGUGUUUGUAUCCCUUGGAAUUGUUUUCAUCAUCCAGUGUCCUUUAUUAGCUCUGUGAACCUGUGGCAUCUGGGGGGCAGUAGCUGGGAUUUCAGUCAUAACCUUGGAAGAGGACAGGAAAGCUGCUAGAACAGAAGGAAAGCAGGAUCAAAGACAAAAGGUAAACAAAAUGGCACUGAACACUUAUAUGCAUACAUUCAACCUUGUAUACUGUAGAUGGGGUUGGUGACUGCCCCCCUUUUCUGAAUCGCAGCAUGCUACAGACAGGGAUCUGCACAUUUACACAAGACUCAAAACCCCCCAGUCUGCAAAAUCACAGGGUUUAGGUGGAACAGUUUAUAGAGAGACUUUACUGCAUAAGUACUGCAGCCCUGAUUCUGUUCUGGGAGCACGUUUUUGAAAGAACACCGCAUGUUGUCCAAGGGCUCAGCAUGUAUUUCAUGGGAUGCUGCUCUAUUGUACCGUAUGGUGGGAGGGAGAAAAACGCCCUGUUCAACUGGAUGAAGUGGAGUCCUGUCAUACGUUUUUGUUUGUUUGUUUGUUUGUUUUUGUUUUAAAAAAAAAAAAACAACCUUUGCUUGCAUUGGAAUAUUCUGAUUCUGAGAAAAUGAUACAUACGUUUAUAUUGAAUGUACGUUAACUCUUGAUUCCAUCAGAAACUAGAGUGUGUGAUUUGCAGUAAGCUUUUAAUUAUGCCCAUUUUUCAUGUGAUGAUAAUUCUUUUAAACCUAUGAGCAUGUAUUUCAAAGCACACUUUGAUAAUGAAGAAUGGACUGUGUCACUGUAACCAGCUGUGGUGCACAGUUAGGAAUAAGAAGGUGUUUAAUAGGGAAGAACUUGAAUGCAUGGACUUCACAGGAAGGAGAUUUAAAACUUCAAUUUUUAUUAGCACCAAAUAUCAAGCAAGUUUCAUGACAACAAGCUGUACUUUCAAGCUGGUAAGUUGUUUAGGGAAAGUGAGUGGGUAAUUAUAUGACACAUUAAUUCAAUUUACGUACUCUUGUGUUUGCAUUUGUUAAUCCACAGUGCCUUCAGUUGUGCACAGGUCUGAGUUCACAGUUUCUGUAGGAAAUGUAGGAGUAUUUUCAGUUAUGAGGUUUAGGGACAUCUCUGUUCUUGAAAGACCAAGUAGCAUAACAUAGCUGCUCACCAGGAGAACAAUCAAAGCACCUCUGACUUCUGGGGCAAAAUAUUCCUGUUUUUCUUUCUAACAUACCUGUCGCGUUCCUGCAGCUGAGCUCAUAGCAUGAAGAAUUUUUCCAAUGGCCCUUCUGCACUUGCAGCCCCGUGCAGUCUCCCUGCUCAGCUAAUGCCAGCGUGACCUUAGAGUUAGGCUACUGUAGUUACAAAGACCGAGGCCAUUGGUGGGGCAGGAGGAGUGCUGAGGAUUGUAAAGAAACUUUCUGUGACUUUGGCUGUCACAAGCAAUCCGGUAUGGGCACGCGAGUGAGAGGAGUUUCCAAGAAAGCACUAGCAGGAGCACCAUGCUGAAGUGCCCUUUUCUGGUAGUACUUGCAAAUGCUUCAUCUUAGUUCAGCCUGUAAACAUCAUUAACUCCCUUGGGAGGAGGGGAGGGCUCGAUUCCUUCAGAAAUGAAAGCAAACUGAAAAUUGUCGUGUAGGAUUUUGGUGUGGGUUUUAUUGUUUUUGGUUUUGUUUCUGUUUUUAGUUUAAGUUGUCUUGGACAGUUAGCUUGCACAAGGAGAAGUGCAGGGUUGCCUACAUUGGUCAUCACCUCAGGACUGCGUGGAUGUAUGUGAGCUUUUCAAAAGAACAGCAGUGGGAAAGCCUCAAGGCUGAGGCUGAGUUCAGCAUCCUGCGUGCUUACUAUUCAAGCUCAGAUACAGUAUCAGAAAUGGCUAAUGGAUUAAUUCAACUGAUUUUUUCAAGGUAAAUUGUGUUAGAAGAAGAAAGAGGAGGAAAAAAAAAAAAGAAAAAACAAUUCCCUGCAGCAUUAGUCUCUCUGGAGAAUGCCAAGCAGCUAGUGGCAGUUCUGCUUGAUCAGAUGUGUAGGAGUGUGCAGGCUUGCAUGAGGGGAACUGAGGACGCUCAGAGAGCGAUUCAGAUGUAGUCGCUAGUUAGGUUCAUAAGUAGGCUGUGACGUGAAUUCCCUGGUCACAGUACUCACUUUUCUCUCCUAUGCAGGGACUGGUCUCCUAGCACAGUGCCAAACCUAAAGUUCCUAAAGCCACGUAGGAUGCCAGUCUUGCAUAGGAUGCAAAGUUAUAUAAAUAACUUCGUUCUCACUGCAUUUGGUAGAGCGGGUCCCUGAGUAACAGGGCAGCCCUGUGUGCAGAACAGCAGGUUUAAAUGGUACAGUACGGGUGGAAGGUCUGGAGCAGCUGCGGGCUUCAGCUGUACAGCCAGGGGAAGGCAUUUGUGCAGGAGGGAGAUGAGGUGCAUCUGAAUAGACUUGCACAAACUGCUUCCUGAAAUCCCUUUAUUUCUCUAGUAAUUUGUAAUAUCUUCAGGACAAAUGCUUCACACCUAAAACUUUUGUCACUGUCAGUAUGGAAAAAUAAAUACAUAAGCAAUACACAUUAACAGUUGCUUUUUAUGCUGUACUUUGUACAAAACUUAGUUUUAUAUAGAUAUAUACAGUUGUAUUUUCUUACGUUGGCUAUGAUUUGAACCACAUCCUGUAAUAGUCCCUUGGAAAUGUCAUGGGAGGUUUAUACUGGAUAAAGGAUCCCAUCCUUUCAAAUUAUUCCUUUAACCACCAGUACUGGGAAGUCUCUGUUAAACACCUCUGUUGUAACAAAAUGUUCUGCCUAAACAAUUUCUGCAGAAGUUAUUUUAACAGAUCAGCCAUUUCAUCACUAAAGAAACAUGUUGUGAGGUGACUUCUAAGCACCCUGCGUAACUCUCUAGCUUGCACUGCUGUAGUGAAUGCUUUCUGGCUGUUUGAGGGAAUGUAAGCUAAGGUGUACUUCCAGGUCAACAAAAAAUCACAGUUUCUGGUGAACAGAAUAACAUACAGUAUUUCUAUGGGGAAAUAGUUUUAUUAAAAAAAAAAAUCAAGGUGUAGGGUAAAAUGACCUACAUAGCCAACUGUUUGGGUUUCAGAAAAACAGCCUUUCAAAUUGCAAUCACUGGGUAAAUUACUAACGAUAGAUUCUUUUUUUUUUUUGUUUUUUUUUUUAACAUACCAGAAAGUAAGGGCUGUGCUUUUGUGUCUCUUUGAAAAUGUUUUUUUGUAUGUUCUUGUUUUUACGUGCUACUGUUAGCACGGUUUCUUUUGUAGCUGCAGUGCUGUUCCACCACAAAGUACUUUAUAGUACACAGCAAGUAUAAUCAGCUAAGCCUGACAUUCCCAGGUUGUGCUAAGUACAUUUCAGAAAAAAAUAGCAGGAUGUCAGCUGAAAUGCUGGGCUAGUUGUUGAUUAAAAUAGAAACACCUCUGUCUGUGCUAACAUGUAGUUCGAAAAGCAAAGACAACUGGACUAGGAUAGCUGCUGGGGAAGGUAGACUAGACUUCAAAUUUUGAAACAAUGGGAUCCUGAAAAACAAUAGCGUACUCUAUUUCCCAGGUUAAAGCUUUAGUGGGAAAAUAAAUCAGGCUGUAAAGGUAAAUAGAGCUGCUCUCUGCCCAUAAAUUUCCAUAACAUUAAUUAACUUAGCAUUUUUGAAAUAUAGAGCCAAUGGUGAAUAAAUGAAAUUGAAAGGCAAAAUGUUUAAAAUACGUUUAAGAAGGGGUGGUUUCUUUAAUGUAUAUGGCAUGAUGAAGUUGUGAAAUUCACUGCUACAAUAUAAGACUGAAGUGGAAAAUCUUCACAGAAUUCAGAAAAAGAAUUAAGGAUAGAUGUGGUUAAUGAGACCAUCUAGUGGCACGUUUAACAGGAUGAAGAAAAUCCAAGGAAUACAAGCCUGCCAGUGACCUAAGGGAGUUGGAAGAAACUUCACCAAAGGACUGGAUUAUCCUUUGAGAUUUCCCGCAACAACCUCUAAAUCUGUGGUUCUCUGCUUUCAGGCCAUGGUCAACCCUAACACUUUCAGUUGUCUGUCUGUGUUGUUCAGAAGGCACUAAAUUUAGAGGCAGUUUCACUCAUGAAGCUGUUUGACCUGGAGGGUGCAAUAAAUUGUAUUGAAAAGGGCAGUAUUAGACAAGACUUCAGACAAGGUACUUGGCUAACCAGACCGUUUUUGAUCUGGCGUAGUAGGAGUUCCUAAUGUUGCAUUUUGGUGUUAAUUUUCUGAGUUUUCCUACACACUUUGUGAAUAUGAGCAACUACCUCAGAAAAGGAGAAGUCAGAUUCUUUCAAAAUUGCCAAUAACACGUUCUGAACAUACCGGUUGGUUUGGGGUGUACAGUUUUUUGCUAUGUUACUAAACACGAUUUCCCCCCCACCCCAGUGUUUUCUGAAAUGUUUCCUGUAUUGACUGUACCUAAUUUCAGGUUGUUCGUAAGAGGAAAAAGAAAGGGGUAUAAAUUUACCUGGAAAUGGGUAAGCUGCUCAAGUUUAAAAAACAAAACCAGAAAAAUAAAGAACCAAUAAGGAAGGACAGAUCAAAUCAAAGAUAGGUAAUGAGAAAUGACAAAAAGAAGUAUGCUAUGUAUUUUUUUAUUGCAUAUAGUGUGGGUGUGUGUGCAUGCUUUCACACCCAUCUUUUGGUAUAUAUAUACUCACUGUAUAGCUUGUAGUGUAGUUCGUUAUAAAGAAUACAAAAGACAUUCUGUUGUAAACUUUAAAGAAUAUUUAAUAAUUUUUUAAAAAUAAAAUGUAUAUUUUAAAUUUUGUUCUUUAUAUGAAUGCACAAAAAUGUAUUAUCAUAGUUGCAGUGACAAAAUCCAAGGAACUGAGGAGACCUGCCCACUGCGGUAAGACACAGGUGAUGCUCUAAGAGAAUUCAUAAUGGAAUCCAAACAAAAUUUCCCAGGGCGAGUCCUGACUUGUUUUCUUACAGUGAAUUGCCUAACUCAGUGUCUACGAAGAUCAUUCACACUUAGCACGAAUUCUUGUGGACAAAGGUAAUAAAGUGUCUGGUUUUAAAAUAAAUGCCACAAUCGGCUUUCUUUUCCCUGCUUACCUUUGGUGCCACACUUAUAGCACAACAAUGAAGCCAAGUGUGAAGUGCAGGGCAGUAACUUUGUCCAUGCUGACAACCUCCUGUCCUGUCUGCGAAUGGGAGGAAGCAGCCUGGAGCCACAUGCAUUGAAAAAUAGAACCAAUUUUUAAUUAGCUUGUGAGAGGGGUGGGUGGAUUCACAUAGCGGCCCUAUUACUGAUGCUAGGUAAUGUUUUUACAACUUCGGUGCAUUUCCUUCCUUUCCAUAUUACAGAUCAUAUAACGCUGCAUUCAAAUGGUAGCUAUUAAAUGGAAGAAUAAACCUUUACAAGUUUAUAUUAUUUGAGGAGGAGGAGUGAAGAAAUGUUCACAGAACAGAAACUGGAGUGAAUUUCAGUGAUUGUGCACUAUAAUACGUAGAGCUAAAUAAUUCUGUGGUACAAGCAGUAAGAUUUGGCUGCUGCUGACAAUUACUGUACAGGAAAAUAAAACACAUUCUAUUAAAUACAUAUAUUCUUAUAAUUGUGAAGAUGAAAAGCCAGAAGUAUAUUGGACUGAAUCUAAAAGCUGAAUCCAGACUUUGCUGAGUUCAGUAGGUCCAGCUGUGUGCCCUAUGCUUUCACAUCUUGUUAUUAAGCAGAAAGAGCAAUGGGUGUAAAUUGGGAGUUCUCUGCUUCACUCUAUUUGUUACCUUUGGUUCUGUCUUUAAAUGUAUUGAGUCUUCCUUCACAUUUAAAAAUAAGUGGAAGUAAUCUAAAAGGCCUUACUAAAAGUGACAAAAACACUAAUGGAAGCAACUGGAAUGACUUCUGGGGUGCUCUGCAUAAAUACAGUAUGAGCACCAUUUUGAAUGUACUACGGGGUGAUUAUAAGCAACCAGUUCAAUGUCAAGUUUUAUGCAUAAAAUGGAACUAUUUUUUGUUGUUGCUUAGAAAAAAAUGCUGCUGUUAAACAUCACAAAACAGUCUGACCUCAGGGGAGAAAGAUGCAAUGCUUUUAGAAAGAAAAUAUGUUAAAGCUGAUUCUUGUUAUAUUCAGUAUAUUCAGAGGUUUGAAACUGGAUUGUGCUGGUAACGCUUUAAGCACCGUAACAUCUGUUUGGCUUGUGUAAAGAGAGUUACUGACAUCAAAUAUAGAAAAUGGUCCAGUGCAAACUAUCAGUAAGUUGCACUAGCAUCUCUGGCAGUUUGUUUUUCUCUUCAGUAGUUGCUGCUGAAUGGUGCUGUUGCAAUGACUGGGAUUUACAAAGUGAGUGUUGCUCAUACUGCCUCGAGAUCGUAUUUUUGAAAAACCAAGGCUGUUUAUCUUGUUGUAAGGAUGCUUGAACUGUGGCAAAUGAUUAGAGAGAACCAGAAUGUGUGAUGUCUCAUCUGCAUUGGUUUCUUUUAUUAUUACUACUCUGUAGGUGUAGCUGAAGUCUGGCAGUCUGCUCUAAGGGUUCAGUGUGUAUUACUGGGAUACUCACAGGAUGAGGGUUGUACUCUGUCGUCUCCCUUCACCACCACCAGGCAAACUGAUGAGAGUUGCCCCAUGUGGGAGUUCUGCUGCACAAUGGUUUGCUCUCAUCACCAAAGCCAUCAGGAUUGCUCUCUGUUAGUUUUUAAUGGCAGAGAUCACUAUGAAUAGACUAGUCUACCUUUUGUCUUAAAAAUCAGUUUUACAAUUGUGUUCAUCAUUCUGCUACGCAGCUUUUCAGUGGUGGAAAUGCAGAGCUGUCAGCAGGAGCACCUGUGAGUACAAACUAUGAAGCGUGGCAAAAACUCGCACUAAUGAUACCUCUAACCUGGAAUUGUUUCUGUGCAGGUAAGAAACAUGGAGAGAGGAAAGGAACAAACUUCUCCCAUCUCUCCAAGAGCAUGAUUGUUGAUGGGUUACCCUGGGCUCAAGGAGCAGAGAGCAUUGAGACCGUGGUGAUUACAACACUGAGAGUAAGUCUUCUGCUCAAGGCACAGGUCACCUGUGUAUUGUGGGCUACUCGCUCAGUUUAACCUCUGUCAUGGGUUGAAGUCUGUUAACAUUUGUGGCUUGUUGGCAUGGCAAUAAAAUUAUUUAGUGGUGGUGAGGUUGCUGUGAGAGAAGUGAUUGGGAAGCUGCACAAAACGCACACAAGUAACGUGUUACUUUGAACUUAGCUUGCACAAUUAAAUGCCCCAUGCUACAGGUACUGAUGUGUAAAAUGGGCAUAAGUGAGCACUGCAGGCCCAGGGGAGGGGGGUUACUGACUAGUGUUAAGGAGAGACUUCAACAGGCCGCGGGGUGGCAAGGCCAGCUUUACUGCUGGAAAUUGCCUUUAAAUCAGGGUAAGCAAAAUUCACUUGUAGCCGAGACAUGCUGUUGUAAGCACUAAAGGUGCUUCUAGUCUGUCCCAGUAAGAAUGACUGCACAGGGCUUUCCGUGAAAAGAGGGCACUGAGGUUGUCUCCCCAGGCUGCUGGCUGUAGCUGAGGUCCUCAAAAGGCUGCUGUGGGGAGCAGGCCAGCUGCAUUGCUCUGCUAGCCUGUUUGCUACCUCCUUUCCCCAGGGUGCUUCAGCUUCUGCCUGCCACAUGUACAUUACCUGGGGCUGCUUGCUCAUGGGGAAUUGUUGGCAGUUUGUUUGAGCAGUAGGAAGCAUGAGAUUCUUAGACAGUGGAAGGUUCAUGCAGAAAGGUACUACAUUAAUUACUUCAGUUACCGAUGUAGGGUGGAGAAUCAGACAACUGGUGGCUGUUUCCUGGCAAAAGGAAAGUACUGACUUUGAUUUCUGCAAAUUCCAGGAAGUGUGGGGCAUGUUCUAGCCAUCAGCCUUUGAAACCAGUAGGAGGGAGAUGGCUGC
Cygnus olor (mute swan) is the source of this 8738-nucleotide long non-coding RNA. RefSeq lists it as uncharacterized. The transcript has 2 exons. The record is from RefSeq and is a predicted model, not a curated record. NCBI's taxonomy places the organism in Eukaryota, Metazoa, Chordata, Aves, Anseriformes, Anatidae.